Molecule: ribosomal RNA, 254 nt
Filed under: uncultured bacterium
Lineage: Bacteria
Description: partial 16S ribosomal RNA
Rfam family: Bacterial small subunit ribosomal RNA
Source: RNAcentral
UACGUAGGGUGCGAGCGUUAAUCGGAAUUACUGGGCGUAAAGCGUGCGCAGGCGGUUAUUUAAGUCAGGUGUGAAAGCCCUGGGCUUAACCUAGGAAUUGCGCUUGAGACUGGAUAGCUUGGAGUGCGGCAGAGGGAGGUGGAAUUCCACGUGUAGCAGUGAAAUGCGUAGAUAUCAGGAGGAAUACCGAUGGCGAAGGCAGGUCUCUGGGCUAUAACUGACGCUCAUGCACGAAAGCGUGGGGAGCAAACAGG